AUGGCAUUUCCUUAUGUAGGAUAUUCAUGGAUAGUGGGGAAUGGCAAGAAUAUUAGAUUUUGGGAAGACCAGUGGUUGGGUCAUACUACUCUAGCUACCCAGUAUUGGGAGCUAUACUCUAUUGCCAAUGACCACAAUGUUUCUGUUAGUGAGGUCUGGGAUGGCACCAAUCUA
Molecule: ribosomal RNA, 174 nt
Filed under: Triticum aestivum (bread wheat)
Lineage: Eukaryota; Viridiplantae; Streptophyta; Magnoliopsida; Poales; Poaceae
Description: partial small subunit ribosomal RNA
Source: RNAcentral